CUUAGAUGCUCCUCCAGCUCUUCAGAAGCUAAGAGAGAACUUUCCUAGAUGAGACGAGAGUGCAAAUUGAAAGGGCACAAUUAUGCCUUUUUCGGUGUUGCAGAAUGGUGUUAAUUACCAAGUAUCCUCUAACUGCAUCUAUGAUCAGAGAGGAACUUAAACACAAAAAUGAUGGCAGUAUGAAUCUCUUAUUAUGAGCUUGGUGCUACAAAGUCGAAGGAGUGUUCAUCUUUUGUUUCAAAAUUAAGGAAAUUGUA
This is a long non-coding RNA of Papaver somniferum (opium poppy), 257 nucleotides long. RefSeq lists it as uncharacterized. The transcript has 3 exons. The record is from RefSeq and is a predicted model, not a curated record. Lineage: Eukaryota; Viridiplantae; Streptophyta; Magnoliopsida; Ranunculales; Papaveraceae.